RNAcentral lists this ribosomal RNA (531 nucleotides) under uncultured bacterium. Its description in RNAcentral is "bacterial SSU rRNA". It matches the Rfam family "Bacterial small subunit ribosomal RNA", at positions 777 to 1304 of the family's 1533-position model. The record is from RNAcentral.
AAUAGAUACCCGGGUAGUCCACGCCGUAAACGAUGAGUGCUAAGUGUUAGAGGGGUUUUCCGCCCUUUAGUGCUGCAGCUAACGCAUUAAGCACUCCGCCUGGGGAGUACGGCCGCAAGGCUGAAACUCAAAGGAAUUGACGGGGGCCCGCACAAGCGGUGGAGCAUGUGGUUUAAUUCGAAGCAACGCGAAGAACCUUACCAGGUCUUGACAUCCUCUGCCAACCCUAGAGAUAGGGCGUUCCCCUUCGGGGGACAGAGUGACAGGUGGUGCAUGGUUGUCGUCAGCUCGUGUCGUGAGAUGUUGGGUUAAGUCCCGCAACGAGCGCAACCCUUGAUCUUAGUUGCCAGCAUUCAGUUGGGCACUCUAAGGUGACUGCCGGUGACAAACCGGAGGAAGGUGGGGAUGACGUCAAAUCAUCAUGCCCCUUAUGACCUGGGCUACACACGUGCUACAAUGGAUGGUACAAAGAGCUGCGAACCCGCGAGGGUAAGCCAAUCUCAUAAAGCCAUUCUCAGUUCGGAUUGUAGG